RNA transcript from Panicum virgatum (switchgrass), 3024 nucleotides. It is a transcript of the gene named pentatricopeptide repeat-containing protein At2g41720-like, with no coding region annotated. The record is from RefSeq and is a predicted model, not a curated record. The transcript has 11 exons. NCBI's taxonomy places the organism in Eukaryota, Viridiplantae, Streptophyta, Magnoliopsida, Poales, Poaceae.
GCCGUCGCCGAGCCCCGAGGCGCGGCCCCCGCGCGUCGUCCGCGCGCCACCGCGGCGGCCCCCGCCCCGCGCGCCCGGCCCGCUGCCGUGGGCGGAGCGCCGGCCCGCCGUGUCCGUCGACCUCGACCGCGGCCGCCGCGCGGCCCGCGCCGAGGUGGACGGCGUCCGCGCCGCGUCGCUCCCCGCGCGGCACCGCCGGCGCGUGGAGGGCACCCGGUGGCAGCGGGACUGGAAGGUGUCCGAGGCCGCCGCGCGCGUGCUCGCGCUUCCCCCCGCCGACGCGCACGCCGUCGACGCCGUGCUCAACUGCUGGGCCGGCCGCUACUCCCGCCGCAAUUUCCCGCUCCUCAUCCGCGAAAUCACAAUUUCUGGAUCCUUGAAACAUGCUGUACAUGUGUUCCGCUGGAUGAAAAAUCAGGAGAAUUAUUGUGCUCGUAAUGACAUUUAUGGCAUGAUGAUAAGGUUACAUGCUAGACACAAUCAGGUCGAUCAGGCACGUGGUUUGUUCUUUGAGAUGCAAGAAUGGCGGUGCAAACCUGAUGCUGAUACAUACAACUCUUUGAUCCAUGCUCAUGCUCGAGCUGGCCAGUGGCGUUGGGCCAUCAAUAUUAUGGAAGAUAUGCAACGUGCUGCUAUACCUCCUAGUCGAACGACAUAUAACAAUGUAAUAAAUGCAUGUGGAGCUGCUGGUAACUGGAAGAAAGCUUUAGAGCUUUGUAAGAAGAUGACUGAAAAUGGUGUAGGACCAGAUUUGAUCACACACAACAUUGUUUUGUCCGCUUUCAAGAAUGGAGCUCAGUAUUCGAAAGCCAUAGCUUACUUUGAAAUUAUGCAAUCAUCUAAUGUUGCCCCUGAUACAUUCACUUGGAAUAUUGUGAUCCAUUGCCUUGUAAAGGUUGGGCAGUAUGGAGAAGCUAUUAAGUUGUUUAACUCAAUGAGGGAAAAAAGAACAAUAUGUCCUCCAGAUGUUGUUACAUAUACGAGCAUAAUGUAUUCUUAUUCUGUUUGUGGGCAAGCUGAAAAUUGCAAGGCAGUCUUUGAUAUGAUGGUUGCUGAAGGUGUCAGGCCUAACAUUGUAUCCUAUAAUGCACUUUUGGGUGCUUAUGCCUCACAUGGUAUGCACAAGGAGGCCUUGGAAACUUUUAAAUUACUGAAGCAAAAUGGAUUGAGACCUGAUAUAGUUUCCUAUACCUCCUUACUUAAUGCUUAUGGUAGAUCUGCACAACCUGAGAAGGCUAGGGAGGUCUUUAAUGAGAUGAGAAAGAAUUCGUGCAAGCCAAACAAAGUCAGUUACAAUGCACUUAUUGAUGCUUAUGGAUCUGCUGGAAUGUUGAAGGAAGCUAUUAGUUUGCUGCAUGAAAUGGAGAGAGAUGGCAUUCAACCGGAUGUUGUUUCAAUAAGUACACUGUUAACAGCAUGUGGUCGCUGCAGACAAGUAACUAAAAUUGACGCAAUCCUUGCAGCAGCAAAGUCUCGAGCGAUCGAACUAAAUACAGUUGCUUACAACUCAGGCAUCGGAAGCUAUUUAAGUUUGGGUGAUUAUGAGAAAGCUUUGGAGUUGUACGCAUUAAUGAGGACACGCAAUGUGAAGCCAGAUGCUGUAACUUACAAUGUACUCAUUAGUGGAUCAUGUAAAUUGGGAAAGUAUGCAGAAUCUCUGAAAUUUUUUGAAGACAUGAUGGACCUGAAAAUUCAUUUGACCAAGGAAGUCUACUCGUCUGUCAUUUGUUCAUAUGUCAAACAAGGAAAACUAAGCGAAGCAGAAUCUAUGUUUAGUUCUAUGAAAGAAUCUGGUUGCUUCCCCGAUGUUUUGACAUAUACUGCAAUGAUUAAAGCCUAUAGCGAUGAUGGGAGCUGGAGGAGAGCGUGGGACCUAUUCAAAGAGAUGGAAAGUAAUGAUGUGCAACCAGAUGCCAUUGUAUGUUCAUCCCUCAUGGAAGCAUUGAAUAAUGGAAGCCAACCUGAAAGGGUCCUACAGUUGAUGAAAUUCAUGAAGCAAAAACAGAUACCGUUGAACCAAAAGGCUUAUUUUGAGAUAAUAGCUUCAUGCAGCAUGCUACGGGAAUGGAAAACAGCCAGCGAAAUAAUUGAGCAAUUGGAUUCCUCCCUCUCAUCCAUUUCUGUUGGCACACUAAACCAUCUUUUGAAUUUUCUUGGAAAAUGUGGCAAGACAGAGAGCAUGAUGAAGCUGUUCUAUAAGAUGGUGACUUCAUGCUCUACUGUGGGCCUUUCUACUUAUGCGGUUCUGCUGAGAAACCUUUUAGUUGUUGGGAAAUGGAGAAAGUAUAUUGAGGUGUUGCAGUGGAUGGAAGAUGCUGGUGUCCGUCCAACACUAUAUAUGUAUCAAAGUGUACUUCCAUAUAUCUGGAGAGACAACAGUAUGGACUAUGUUACUCUCCUGCAAGAAAAAAUAAGUGAACAAUGCAUGUUUUCCUGGAUGACACAUUUUAUCUUUGCUCAUAUCAGAUGCAUUGAGAGAGAAGGUAACAUGACUCCAGAUAUUUCUGCAUUUGUUUGAUAUGUACUACUAGAAGUCUAUAACUGAAUAUGGAAGGUGACAUCAGAUUGAAGCUAGCAGCAUUCAGGGAGGACAGGAUUGUGAGUGUGCCCUAGUUGGCAUGGAAGCAACUUCCUCAUUAUUGAGAAAAAUGGACAUAGGACUUCGAGAACUGAGAAAUUGACAUGAUUCUACAAUUGCGAGGUUGGCUUGGAAAAAGCAUGACCUCAUGAAUCAUCUCUAUGGCUAAGAUGAGAGAAAUUGGGAUACUCGUUAACUCUAUGGCUUGGCUCGGAAAAAUUAAGUUAGUCUAGUAGAGCAGAGUCUUCCAUUCUCCAUCCUAGACUUUACAAUCUUGUAUGGCCAUUGUAGUAGCAGUUCUUGGACAUUGUAAUUUGUCAAUGUCUUUCAAAUAAGCAGUUUUCCCAUCCUGUGUCAUAUUGGUUUGAGAAUAAUUUUGUUGUGACGAUGAUAGGGAACACUGUAUAAGGCUUUAUGAAAAAUAGAGAGAUGGCCGUAUGAACAAA